RNAcentral lists this ribosomal RNA (2111 nucleotides) under mouse gut metagenome. RNAcentral's name for it is "bacterial LSU rRNA". It matches the Rfam family "Bacterial large subunit ribosomal RNA", at positions 704 to 2809 of the family's 2925-position model. The record is from RNAcentral.
GCGGAUUAGACCCGAAACCGGGUGAUCUAUCCAUGAGCAGGUUGAAGCAAGGGUAAAGCCUUGUGGAGGACCGAACAGUCAACGGCUGAAAACGUUUCUGAUGACUUGUGGAUAGGGGUGAAAGGCCAAUCAAACCCGGUGAUAGCUGGUUCUCCCCGAAAUAUAUUGAGGUAUAGCCUCAGGGAUUGUCUAACGGAGGUAAAGCACUGAAAAAGCUAGGGGUCCUACCAGAUUACCAAACUUUAUCAAACUCAGAAUACCGUGUAGAUGUACCCUGGGAGUCAGACAGCGGGUGCUAAGGUCCGUUGUCGAGAGGGUAAGAGCCCAGAUCAACAGCUAAGGUCUCCAAAUACAUACUCAGUGGUCAAGGUGGUGGGGUUGUUUAGACAGCCAGGACGUUGGCUUAGAAGCAGCCAUCGUUUAAAGAAAGCGUAAUAGCUCACUGGUCUAAUGACUCUGCGCCGAAAAUGUAACGGGGCUAAGUAUGUUACCGAAGCUUUGAAUUGCACUUUAUGUGUUCUGGUAGGGGAGCGUUCUCUUGUAGGCUGAAGGUGUGUCGUAAGGCAUGCUGGACGAAAGAGAAGUGAUUAUGCUGACAUGAGUAACGAUAAAACAGGUGAAAAACCUGUUCGCCGAAAACCCAAGGUUUUCCGGGUAAAGUUAAUCUUCCCGGAGUUAGUCGGCCCCUAAGGCGAGAGCGAAAGCUGUAGCUGAUGGGAAACGGGUUAAUAUUCCCGUACUUUUAUGAUUGUGCGAUGGAGGGACGCAGGAAGAUAGGCUAUCCGGCUGUUGGAUGCCGGUGCAAGUGUGUAGGAGCAGGAUACAGGCAAAUCCGUAUCCCGAGUCUGAGACACGAGUCCGUGGGCGCAAGCCCUGAAGUAGUUGAGUCUAUGCUGCCAAGAAAAGCUUCUCAGUUUAGGUCAUAAAAACCGUACUGCAAACCAACUCAGGUGGGUGGGAUGAAUAAUCCAAGGCGCUCGAGAGAAUUCUGGCCAAGGAACUCGGCAAAAUAACCCCGUAACUUCGGAAGAAGGGGUGCUCCUUAUUGUGAUAUAUUUGCUUAUGUAGCAUUGAGGAGCCGCAGUGAAUUGGUGGUGGCGACUGUUUACUAAAAACAUAGGUCUGUGCGAAGUCGCAAGACGACGUAUACGGACUGACGCCUGCCCGGUGCUGGAAGGUUAAAAGGAGGGGUCAGCGCAAGCGAAGCUCCGAAUUGAAGCCCCAGUAAACGGCGGCCGUAACUAUAACGGUCCUAAGGUAGCGAAAUUCCUUGUCGGGUAAGUUCCGACCUGCACGAAUGGCGUAACGAUCUCCACACUGUCUCGGCCAGAAACUCGGUGAAAUUGAAGUCGCGGUGAAAAUGCCGUGUACCCGCAGAAAGACGGAAAGACCCUGUGCACCUUUACUAUAGCUUGACAUUGGAUUUUGGGCCUACAUGUGUAGGAUAGGUGGGAGACUGUGAAAUAUGUACGCCAGUAUGUGUGGAGUCAUCCUUGAAAUACCACCCUUGUAUGUCUAAGGUCCUAACGUGACGCCGUGAUCCGGCUCACAGACAGUGUCUGGUGGGUAGUUUGACUGGGGCGGUCGCCUCCUAAAGAGUAACGGAGGCAUACAAAGGUUCCCUCAGGCUGUUUGGAAAUCAGCCGUCGAGUGCAAACGCAUAAGGGAGCUUGACUGUAAGAGAGACAUUUCGAGCAGAUACGAAAGUAGGUGUUAGUGAUCCGGUGGUCCCGUAUGGAAGGGCCAUCGCUCAUUGGAUAAAAGGUACGCCGGGGAUAACAGGCUGAUCGCAUCCAAGAGUUCAUAUCGACGAUGCGGUUUGGCACCUCGAUGUCGGCUCAUCACAUCCUGGGGCUGAAGCAGGUCCCAAGGGUACGGCUGUUCGCCGUUUAAAGUGGUACGCGAGCUGGGUUUAAAACGUCGUGAGACAGUUUGGUCCCUAUCUUCUGUGGGCGUAGGAAAAUUGAAAGGGCCUGUUCCUAGUACGAGAGGACCGGAAUGGACGCACCUCUGGUGGACCUGUUGUCGUGCCAACGGCACAGCAGGGUAGCUAUGUGCGGAAGGGAUAACCGCUGAAAGCAUCUAAGCGGGAAGCCUGCCUUAAGAUAAGU